GCAGUGAGGAAUAUUGGUCAAUGGACGCAAGUCUGAACCAGCCAUGCCGCGUGAAGGAUGAAGGCGUUCUGCGUUGUAAACUUCUUUUACCAGGGAAGAAACCACUUUAUUCUUAGAGUGUUGACGGUACCUGGGGAAUAAGCACCGGCUAACUCCGUGCCAGCAGCCGCGGUAAUACGGAGGGUGCAAGCGUUAUCCGGAUUUACUGGGUUUAAAGGGUGUGUAGGCGGACUGUUAAGUCCGGGGUGAAAUCCCGAAGCUCAACUUCGGAACUGCCCUGGAUACUAUCGGUCUUGAAUUAUGUUGAGGUUGGCGGAAUAUAACAUGUAGCGGUGAAAUGCAUAGAUAUGUUAUAGAACACCGAUUGCGAAGGCAGCUGGCUAAGCAUAUAUUGACGCUGAGGCACGAAAGCGUGGGGAUCAAACAGGAUUAGA
Molecule: ribosomal RNA, 434 nt
Filed under: uncultured bacterium
Lineage: Bacteria
Description: bacterial SSU rRNA
Rfam family: Bacterial small subunit ribosomal RNA
Source: RNAcentral